UGUUUGAUACAUAGAUGUUUACCUUACUUGGGUUGUACUUUGGUUGUGUUCAAGAUGCUAGUCCUCUGUGGUGUCUAGUAUUCUUAGAGUUAGGAGUUGUAUGGAUUUUAACUUAUACAUUGUUUUAGACCCGUCGAAUGCUCGUGCUUCGGAGUCUACGCAGGGUUAGCUGUUUGCCAAGAUUUCACGUGGAUAAGCAAGCAGUUUAUGAUUUGAAAGCUGGUCCACUCCGAUUCUUGAUUCUUGGAGGUUUUUAUGUCAAUAAAACUAGUCUGUUGUUUUAAACUCUUAGACCGCAGUAGAACUAGUAUAGUGUUUGAUUAUUAUACUUUGGUUUGUCGUGGUGGUACGACUUUUAUAUUAUUAUACUUUGGCAUGUUACAUUGGAUUAUUAUAUUUGAGGCAUGAUUCACAGUUUCGGAUUA
This is a long non-coding RNA of Mercurialis annua (annual mercury), 425 nucleotides long. RefSeq lists it as uncharacterized. The transcript is spliced from 2 exons. Lineage: Eukaryota; Viridiplantae; Streptophyta; Magnoliopsida; Malpighiales; Euphorbiaceae. The record is from RefSeq and is a predicted model, not a curated record.